UACGUAGGGGGCAAGCGUUGUCCGGAUUUAUUGGGCGUAAAGCGCGCGCAGGUGGUGGAUUAAGUUGUGGGUAAAAGGCAUUGGCUCAACCAAUGUAAGCCUGCAAAACUGGUUCACUUGAGUGCAGGAGAGGGGAGUGGAAUUCCCGGUGUAGCGGUGGAAUGCGUAGAUAUCGGGAGGAACACCAGUGGCGAAGGCGACUCUC
Molecule: ribosomal RNA, 205 nt
Filed under: uncultured bacterium
Lineage: Bacteria
Description: partial 16S ribosomal RNA
Rfam family: Bacterial small subunit ribosomal RNA
Source: RNAcentral